CGCUGGGUGGAGCAGCCCGGUAGCUCGUCAGGCUCAUAACCUGAAGGCCGCAGGUUCAAAUCCUGCCCCCGCAACCA
This 77-nucleotide transfer RNA is filed under the name Agrobacterium pusense. RNAcentral's name for it is "Rhizobium pusense tRNA-Met". It matches the Rfam family "tRNA". From Rfam's summary of the family: Transfer RNA (tRNA) molecules are approximately 80 nucleotides in length. The record is from RNAcentral. Lineage: Bacteria; Pseudomonadati; Pseudomonadota; Alphaproteobacteria; Hyphomicrobiales; Rhizobiaceae.